GCGAGCGGCGUAGGUCAACGCGCUUCAAUGCGGCUUUUGGUACCGUCAUACGCAGGUUCGAAUCCUGCCGCCCCA
Molecule: transfer RNA, 75 nt
Filed under: Sphingomonas desiccabilis
Lineage: Bacteria; Pseudomonadati; Pseudomonadota; Alphaproteobacteria; Sphingomonadales; Sphingomonadaceae
Description: tRNA-Gln
Source: RNAcentral